Molecule: ribosomal RNA, 599 nt
Filed under: uncultured Leccinum
Lineage: Eukaryota; Fungi; Basidiomycota; Agaricomycetes; Boletales; Boletaceae
Description: eukaryotic LSU rRNA
Rfam family: 5.8S ribosomal RNA (bases 194-348)
Source: RNAcentral
AGUUAAUAGAGGGCUGGUUGGCUUAUCGAAAAGUAUGAGGCUUAUUGAAAAGUAGUGUGAACUACCUAAUAGAAAGCUUAGUACCUAAUAGAGAGCUAGUUGGCUUAUCGAAAAGACUACCUAAUAGAGGGACCCAGAAGAUCUAUGUUUAAUUUACACCACAUCGUAUGUCCAGAAAAUAUAAAUAAAUUACAACUUUCAGCAAUGGAUCUCUUGGUUCUCGCAUCGAUGAAGAACGCAGCGAAUCGCGAUAAGUAAUGUGAAUUGCAGAUUUUCAGUGAAUCAUCGAAUCUUUGAACGCACCUUGCGCCCCUUGGUAUUCCGAGGGGCAUGCCUGUUUGAGUGUCAUUUUAUCAUCAACUCAUUAGUCUUUGAUUAGGCUUUUGGGCUUGGACUUGGGAAUUGCUGGCUUGAUCUUUUUACCCAUUGAACAGUAUCUAAUACUUAAUAGAGGGGAAAAAGUGUAGUCGGCUGUCCUUAAAUGCAUUAGCGAGUGUUAGUCUACAUGGCACGGCCUCUUGACGUGAUAAUGAUCGUCGUGGGCUGGAAGUGUAGUGUCUGGCUUCUAAAACCCGAUUGCGUGCAUACGGCCCAUAAAG